GAAGAAUUCACAUUGCUGAAAGAAUGUAUUGCAGCAAUCAAAACCAGUACCUGAUUCAACCAUUGGCAAUAUACAUUACAGACUAGUUGAUGUUAAUUACAGAAUUAAUUUAACAAUUGUUAAUACUUGUACACCUGCAAGCUAUUACAUGGAGAAAAGUUAUACCAAAUGAAUUUCUAUUUCCUUUCCCUUGUUAAUGUUUGUGUUACCCAACAAAUAACCAGGGUUGAAAACUACCAGCCAGUUCUUCAAAGCACUUGUUUGUAGCUAUACAGGAUUUGACACAUAAUGAGAAGCAUUAAAUAGAAAUAAUAUUGAAAGAGUAUUUUAGAGAAACCAGUGAGAAGAUUGAAUCAUGAAGCACUAUUGGCCAGUUUUGGCACGCUUCAUUCCACUUGAAUUGAAAGGAGAGACACUACCACAUGGUCUAUUGCUCUCUUCCCUAUAGUUUGAAUUCAACAUUGCUAAUUCUCUCAGUUGAUGCCUCUUAUAGAUAUCCUGUGACUCAUCCUGCAAAUUGGAAGAUGAAAAAAAAAGUGAAUAUCUGGGAAGGGCAUCUAAUUAUACUUCAAUGGAGGAUAAGGACCAUUUACUGAUGGUGUUUACAUACUAUUAUAAUAAGCACAUAAAUCUAAAGUAUACACACAAUUGCACAUACACAGAAUAGACAGUAUAAAGGAAAAAAGAAACAAAGACUCAAGAUUUAUGUAGUUUGAUGGUAAGGUCUAUGUUUACAAGCAAGUCAUAAGAGAAAAUUCCUCUAUGAUGAAAAAAGGACAAGUUACAAUCACUCUAAACUCAAUCCAAAUCCUAAUCCCAGUAGAUUUAUCCAAAUUUUCUCAAUAUACCGAAAUAAGCAAAAUUUAUAGUAUUUAUACUGGUUCAUGUUGGGAGGCGUUUGCCCCCUUGCACUCCCAACAAGGUUUGUGAUGAUAAUGGAGGAUACAGCUCGAUGAAGAACAGAUCUAAAAUUCAAACCACAUAACAACACACACGCUUUGUAGAAUUACCAAAAGAACCAUUAGAUCUGAAUUCACAAAGUUUAACCUCUACUUUAUAUUAGCAUGCUAGUGAUAUUGAUGCAAUAAUGUGAUAAAUGGAAGAAACAAUCUAAAUGCCAAGAAAGAGUGCAUUGAAUAGCAGGAAAAUGAGCAAAUGGAUAUCCACAAGUCAGCAGAAUGUAAGAAUGACCAUCAUAAUUUGCUUUGUGAUAGCAAAUUAGCAAUAAAUAAAAUAAUUGUCAAAGAGUGAUACCCACAGAGCCAAAUGUGUGAACAAAAUGAAACUAUUAUACUUAAAAAGAAAAAUUAAAAUAAGUAAUGUUCCUUGAUGAUUUAGAAUAGCCAGAUAAUAUCAGAAGAAAGGACGAGGCUAGUAGAUAUAUACCACAGGUUUAAGCAGUUCUUCAAUUAUUUCCUGCGCUUGUCUCAUUUGCAUAUCAAUAAUAUUGACAGGUAAUUCAGCCUCAAUUAUAAUGUGCAGAGGAUCACUAAGAUGCUCAUAGCCUGGUCUUCCCCUUAAUGACUCUUCCUUCAGAGUAAAAAAGCAAAGGAAAAAACUAUCAAGACAUUGACAAAACAAACAGAUUGAAGCAUAAAAUAAAAGACCAGAAAAUAAAUUGGCCAAGACUUAUGCUGCAACUUUGCGGGUGAGAACACAUGGUUUUCACCAACCAAAUAGCCUUUU
Molecule: unclassified non-coding RNA, 1686 nt
Filed under: Hevea brasiliensis (rubber tree)
Lineage: Eukaryota; Viridiplantae; Streptophyta; Magnoliopsida; Malpighiales; Euphorbiaceae
Source: RNAcentral